RNAcentral lists this transfer RNA (73 nucleotides) under Sporichthya sp. Its description in RNAcentral is "tRNA-Glu". It matches the Rfam family "tRNA". Rfam says of the family: Transfer RNA (tRNA) molecules are approximately 80 nucleotides in length. Their secondary structure includes four short double-helical elements and three loops (D, anti-codon, and T loops). Further hydrogen bonds mediate the characteristic L-shaped molecular structure. tRNAs have two regions of fundamental functional importance: the anti-codon, which is responsible for specific mRNA codon recognition, and the 3' end, to which the tRNAs corresponding amino acid is attached (by aminoacyl-tRNA synthetases). tRNAs cope with the degeneracy of the genetic code in two manners: having more than one tRNA (with a specific anti-codon) for a particular amino acid; and 'wobble' base-pairing, i.e. permitting non-standard base-pairing at the 3rd anti-codon position. Lineage: Bacteria; Bacillati; Actinomycetota; Actinomycetes; Sporichthyales; Sporichthyaceae. The record is from RNAcentral. RNAcentral also lists the same sequence under 5 other names.
GCCCUCAUCGUCUAGAGGCCCAGGACACCGCCCUUUCAAGGCGGCAGCACGGGUUCGAAUCCCGUUGGGGGCA